RNAcentral lists this ribosomal RNA (460 nucleotides) under uncultured bacterium. RNAcentral's name for it is "partial 16S ribosomal RNA". It matches the Rfam family "Bacterial small subunit ribosomal RNA", at positions 338 to 795 of the family's 1533-position model. The record is from RNAcentral.
CCUACGGGUGGCAGCAGUGAGGAAUAUUGGUCAAUGGGCGAGAGCCUGAACCAGCGAAGUCGCGUGAAGGAUGAAGGAUCUAUGGUUUGUAAACUUCUUUUAUGUGGGAAUAAAGUGAGGAACGUGUUCCUUUUUGUAUGUACCAUAUGAAUUAGCAUCGGCUAACUCCGGGCCAGCAGCCGCGGUAAAACGGAGGAUGCGAGCGUUGUCCGGAUUUAUUGGGUUUAAAGGGUGCGUAGGUGGUUUAUUAAGUCAGGGGUGAAAGUUUGUGGCUCAACCAUAAAAUUGCCGUUGAAACUGGUUGACUAGAGUAUAUUUGAGGUAAGCGGAAUGCGUGGUGUAGCGGUGAAAUGCAUAGAUAUCACGAAGAACACCGAUGGCGAAGGCAGCUUACUAAACUAUAACUGACACUGAAGCACGAAAGCGAGGGGAUCAAACAGGAUUAGAUACCCGGGUAGUC